Molecule: long non-coding RNA, 4878 nt
Filed under: Sus scrofa (pig)
Lineage: Eukaryota; Metazoa; Chordata; Mammalia; Artiodactyla; Suidae
Description: lncRNA (ENSSSCG00045024716.1)
Source: RNAcentral
UUUUUUUUUUUUUUUUUUUUGGAGAAUUGCUGGGAAACGACAUUAGAUGGUUUUAAAUAGUAAUUCCUAGGCGUUGCCCUGUUGAUAGCCAACAUAAACACGGCAGCCCCGUGGAUCAAAGAAAUUACCCCCAUCAAAGAAAAACUGGACCAUGCCAGGAAUUGGAUCUUUCAAAUGCUAGGUCAAGGCUGCCAGAACAUGGGGAAAGCAUGGGAUGGCUGAGAAGAAGGUGGCAGAUUUUUUUUAAUGCUGAGAAUUUAAAACAAUUUUUAAAGUAAUAUUAAUAGUAGUAGCAGUAGUGAAAUAAUGAUUUUUAUUGAGCAUUUUUUUUUUUGUCUUUUUGCCAUUUUUCUUGGGCCGCGCCCGUGGCAUAUGGAGGUUCCCAGGCUAGGGGUUGAAUUGGAGCUGUAGCCACCAGCCUACGCCAGAGCCACAGCAACCCAGGAUCCGAGCCGCGUCUGCAACCUACACCACAGCUCACGGCAACGCUGGAUCCUCAACCCACUGAGCAAGGGCAGGGACCGAACCUGCAACCUCUUGGUUCCUAGUCGGAUUCGUUAACCACUGCGCCACGACGGGAACUCCUAUUGAGCAUUUUGUAUGUCCCAGCGCCACUUGCUGAGACCUUUCCACAUCCUAUUUCAUUUUAACCUCACAAACUCCAUUGAGGUGGGGACUACAAUUAUCCCGGCUUGACGGUCAAGGCUACAGAAUCACAAAGAGGUCGUUCACUUCCCUGAGGCCACAGAGGCAGUGGACGCCAGGCCUGUACUCUCAGCUGGGCUAUACUACUCCUUCCAGGGCUGUUUAGGAUGCUAACACUUCCUAAACACUUGCUGUUUCCCAAGCCUUCCUCCAGUACUUUAUAGGUGGUGACGCGCUUAAUGCUCACAGCCUCAGCCAAUGAAAGACAGGCUACAACAACCCCACUUUACAGAUGAGGAAAACUAGGGCACAGAGAGGCUGAGGAAGCUGCCCACUUAACCAUCCAGCUAGUUAAGUGCCCCAGCGGAAAUCGGACCCAGGCAAUCUGAGCUCAGAAGCCAAAAUCUUAACCACCUCCUAAUACUACCUCUCAUGUAGAAUUAAGAAACUAUGUCUCACCCAUGUGAUUUCUGAGGUGCAGGCUGCAUAACUAAACCCACCAUUUAAAACAUCCGGGGGAAUUAGUAUUUUCUUUAUUCACAUUAAUUUCAAGCCAAGGUGGAACAGAAGAAAAGCACUACAAGGAAUAUGCCCAUAAGAUGACUGUGUUUCAUUAUCAGCUGCCAGUCAUGUCUACAGACGUGAGACAUGGUGAGUGGAAGAUUUGGGAGAGUUUUUGGUCCUGAAGUCAAAGAAGUGGUGGCCGUGCCAGGAAAAAAGCAAAGCAGGACCUCAGCUUCAGCACCAUCCAGGGCUCCAGAACUAAUUACCAAAUGGAGCAGAAAACAAUGAAAUAACCAAGUGAUGAAUGGGUUAAGAAGAUAUGGCAAUAAAUACAAUGGAAUACUACUAAGCCAUAAAAAAGAAUGAAUUCAUGUCAUUUUCAGCAACAUGGAUGCAACUAGAAAUUCUCAUAGUAAGUGAAGUCACAAAGAGAAAGACAAAUACCAUAUGAUAUCACUUAUACAUGAAAUCUAAAAUAUGGCACAAAUGAACCUAUCCACAAAACAGAAACAGACUCAUGGAUCUAUACAACAGACUUGUGGUUGCCAAGCAGGAGGGGAGAAGGAGUGGGAUGGACUGGGAUGGACAGGGAGUUUGGGUUGGUAGAUGUUUAGAAUGGAUAAGCAAUGAGGUCCUCCUGUACAGCACAGGGACCUCUAUCAGUCUCUUGAGAUAGACCAUGAUGGAAGAUAAUAUGAGAAAAAGAAUGCUAAAAAAAUAAUACCCGAGUGGGCGUACUAUAAAAUUCUUCCCCCCUACAUCUACCCAAUAGAGAUGUGCCCUUGAGAGAGCUGUUGGAAGAAUGAUCAGGGAACCACUGCACACAUACAAAGUGUUUGUUUAAUAAAUAUUUAUAGUCCUCGCAACAUACAAGAACUAAUUUCAGCUCUUGCUCUUCCUAUCAGCCAGCUGUUGGAGAAAAUGAGGAAGUGAUGCCUCAUGGUGGUGGUGAUAACCGUUUCCUUAAACUUGAAAGAACUUGCCCCUCCUUCCCAAUCCCCAUCCUACAAUAGAGAAUGAAGACAAUACCAAAAGGCCAUUUCCUAGCAGUUCUGUACUUACAAAUGAUGGAUACCCCCUAGCUGAAUGCCAGUGGAGCAGUCAGUAUAGAAUCCCUCAGGCUGCUGUAACAAACACCCCCCCACACACACACCACACACAUCUCGGCAUAACACAACAAAGGUUUAUUUGCAGCUCAUCCUGUGUGUGUAGAGUGGAUUGCAGGAUGUGGUGAUGGAGGGAACUUCUCAUUGUCACCGUCCAAGGGCCCAGCUGCUGAGUUGCUGGAGGACCCCUUCAGGGAAAUACUUAUGUGAUACCAGACAAAGGGGAACAGAAUUGUGCACAAGCUCUUAACAGCACCUCCUGGAAGUAACAUAGAAUGUCCAGCCACGUGUCAUUGGCCAGCAUAAGUCACAUAACAAGCCUGACUUUAAAAAAAACAACAAAAUACAGGAUUCUUUCUUUCUUUUUUUUUUAUCUUUUUGCCAUUUCUUGGGCUGCUUCUGCAGCAUAUGGAGGUUCCCAGGCUAGGGGUCCAAUCAGAGCUGCAGCUUCCGAUCCGCCCCCACCCCCAGCCACGGCAACAUGGGAUCCAAGCCGGGUCGGCGACCUACACCAAUGCUCACAGCAACACCAGAUCCUUAACCCACUGAGUAAAGCCAGGGAUCAAACCCGCAUCCUCACGGACACUAUGUCAAGCUCUUAACCCUCUGAGCCACAAUGGGAACUCCAACCCUGUGAUUCUUAACCAAACACAAUCAUGUCAACGGUACAAACUCAGUCCUGGCUGACCUAGGGAUUUAGCUGCAACCUCUCCACACAGGACUUUGCCUUUGGCCUUGACCUGAAUUUCCAAAAUCCCUAGUGUUUCUCUGUGGCAGAACAACUAGCACCAGAUGUCUCUCAUUCCUGAUAAAAUUCCACUAACACAUUUUGUGAAAUAAAACAACAAGCAGGACUGGGGAUAUGGGAAGAAAAAUGGGAGCUCAUCCUGAGAGGAAGACGUUGACAGCAACGUCCAUUUCCAACGGCUUCUCCCAAAAGGAUGCGGUCUGUGGGGCCCAGAUUUCUCUGUGACACUGGAACCCUGUUGUCUCUGAUGAAGCCGGCAAGUCAUCACUACCCACAGCCAUCUCUAUAGUGGCACGCGAUCGUCUCACUGGAAGGUGUAAAGCACACUUUUGAAUCUCAGAACAAGGACUCUGAUGGAUAACAGAGCCAAGCAGGUUGGCAGCUGCGAGGGUUAGGGUGGCUGGCUGGACCCGUCGUCCGGGUGUUCAGGGCUUUCUGCACUGCAGCUGUGAGAUGCAGAGCUUCUCGUGGUUCCUGUGGCCACAGAUCCGCUGUGUUCCACAACUGCCAAGAGACAGCACAACCAAGGGUGCCGACUACUCAGCCUGCUCCUCCCAUCAGCUGGGUGGGCUUCACCUGGGAGCGUCCUCAAAAUGCAGAUUCUCAGGCCCUGCCUCACACCCGUUAAACCAGAAUCUGCAUUUAGCAAAGUCUCCAGGUAAUGUGCAUACACACUCGUUUGAGAAAUUCUGCUCUCCAGAGUUUUAAACCACCCAUGAAAGAGGCCUUUGUUACUAUCUUCUAUUGAACAGAAUUAAAAAUCAAGGCCAGUGUUUCCCAGGCUGCCUUCUUUCUCAUCUUGUUGUCAAACGGUCAAAUUACACCAAACGCCCAGUUAAUAAUUCACCUGCCUCAGAGCCUUGAAAAAUAGCUGAAAUUUGCACGAAUGUAACUGCACCUACUUCCGGACAACUCUAUUUCAGUAUGUCCCUUAGACACCGUCAUUUCUUUCUUUAAAAAACUCUGUUUUAAAUACUUGCUUCCGUAAGUAGUGCACUUAUUUCUCCCAGACUAUUGAUCAGACCCACACAUCCGACCGUUUUAUUUCCAACUUUCUCUUCUCCCUCCGUUAACAUGCGCCGAGUCCAAACAGGGAUAAGUGACAGUUUACAUAACAUCUGCAGGUGUUUCUGUUACCAGGGAUUCAGUGGAAUGCCGUCUUCUUCAUGGGCUUUGUUUGUUUGGCUUGAGACCAGCCGGGCGGGCUGGGCGAUGUCCGGCUUUACUGUACGCAUCUGGUCUAGCCUAACACCAUGCUGGAGGGUGUCAGGAGGAAGCCGCGAGAUGCCACCCAGCAAGAAAGCUCAAGGGACCCACUCUCUGCUUGUAAAAAGUGACCAACAUCGCACUCUAGCUUCAAAUGUUAAUGUGUAAUAUCGGAGCCGUUUACUUUGAAGAUAAGGUUUCACUGCUGAGGAAGAAGGUCGUCGGGAUCAUGUGUGAACUACGCUGCCACCUACGUGGGGACCUUAAAUGAAACAGGGAAGCAGACAUUAACCUCCAAAAGUCGGCGUUAAAGAGAUACUUUGCCUUUCAUGAGCAUUUCUUUUUUCAUGCCAAGCUCCACCUUCUGCCCUCCAAAGAUGAAGGAGGUACAGUUGACGCAGAAGCGUAUUUUCAUAGGAUUGGCAGGAACCCAGAAACCAUGUUCCCUGGAGGACUUCCAUGGCACGGUGUCCUCAAACGCCUUUAAAUAAUCUCUAGUAAAAGAGCCCGAGAGGAUAUUUCCAGGUGACAAUGGGACUGGAAGUGACAUGAUAUUUGUACGUGAGGGGCUACUCAUUUUGCUGAAAUAAAGAAUCUUGUGAAAAGAGGAAUUAGGACUUGUAUUUACAACAGCUUUUCAUAAACAUCCCCAAAUUCCAGGCACAGGAC